Molecule: small RNA, 21 nt
Filed under: Arabidopsis thaliana (thale cress)
Lineage: Eukaryota; Viridiplantae; Streptophyta; Magnoliopsida; Brassicales; Brassicaceae
Description: AGO1_2008
Source: RNAcentral
CGAUCCACUGAGAUUCAGCCC